AACGAACGCUGGCGGCAUGCCUAACACAUGCAAGUCGAACGAGACCUUCGGGUCUAGUGGCGCACGGGUGCGUAACGCGUGGGAACCUGCCCUUAGGUUCGGAAUAACUCCCCGAAAGGGGUGCUAAUACCGGAUAAUGUCUUCGGACCAAAGAUCUAUCGCCUUUGGAUGGGCCCGCGUUGGAUUAGCUAGUUGGUAGGGUAAAAGCCUACCAAGGCGACGAUCCAUAGCUGGUCUGAGAGGAUGAUCAGCCACACUGGGACUGAGACACGGCCCAGACUCGUACGGGAGGCAGCAGUGGGGAAUAUUGGACGAUGGGCGAAAGCCUGAUCCAGCCAUGCCGCGUGAGUGAUGAAGGCCUUAGGGUUGUAAAGCUCUUUUACCCGGGAUGAUAAUGACAGUACCGGGAGAAUAAGCUCCGGCUAACUACGUG
Molecule: ribosomal RNA, 433 nt
Filed under: uncultured bacterium
Lineage: Bacteria
Description: partial 16S ribosomal RNA
Rfam family: Bacterial small subunit ribosomal RNA
Source: RNAcentral